RNAcentral lists this ribosomal RNA (497 nucleotides) under uncultured bacterium. Its description in RNAcentral is "partial 16S ribosomal RNA". It matches the Rfam family "Bacterial small subunit ribosomal RNA", at positions 28 to 507 of the family's 1533-position model. The record is from RNAcentral.
GAUGAACGCUGGCGGCGUGCCUAAUACAUGCAAGUAGAACGCUGAAGGAAGGAGCUUGCUCUUUCCGGAUGAGUUGCGCACGGGUGAGUAACGCGUAGGUAACCUGCCUGGUAGCGGGGGAUAACUAUUGGAAACGAUAGCUAAUACCGCAUAACAGUAGAUGUUGCAUGAUAUCUACUUAAAAGGUGCAAUUGCACCACUACCAGAUGGACCUGCGUUGUAUUAGCUAGUUGGUGAGGUAACGGCUCACCAAGGCGACGAUACAUAGCCGACCUGAGAGGGUGAUCGGCCACACUGGGACUGAGACACGGCCCAGACUCCUACGGGAGGCAGCAGUAGGGAAUCUUCGGCAAUGGACGGAAGUCUGACCGAGCAACGCCGCGUGAGUGAAGAAGGUUUUCGGAUCGUAAAGCUCGGUUGUAAGAGAAGAACGAGUGUGAGAGUGGAAAGUUCACACUGUGACGGUAGCUUACCAGAAAGAGACGGCUAACUACGUG